This 120-nucleotide small RNA is filed under the name unclassified sequences. RNAcentral describes it as "DUF3268 RNA". It matches the Rfam family "DUF3268 RNA". The record is from Rfam by way of RNAcentral.
CCCACAGCUUGCGCUCAGGCUUUCGAUACGGCAGAGGACGUCCUGGCGUCAGACAUAUCCCGCGGAUAUGGAAUCGUUACGGAACCGCGCACACUGAGCGGCUCCACACGGCCGCAACGC